CAGUCGCCACGGUAAUACGAAGGGUGCAAGCGUUAAUCGGAAUUACUGGGCGUAAAGCGUGCAUAGGCGGUUUGUUAAGUCUGUUGUGAAAUCCCCGGGCUCAACCUGGGAAUGGCAAUGGAUACUGGCAAGCUAGAGUGUGUCAGAGGAUGGUGGAAUUCCCGGUGUAGCGGUGAAAUGCGUAGAGAUCGGGAGGAACAUCAGUGGCGAAGGCGGCUCACUGGUCCAUUACUGACGCUGAGGUGCGAAAGCGUGGGGAGCAAACAGGAUUAGAGACCCGCGUAGUCCCUGUCUCUUAUAC
This 301-nucleotide ribosomal RNA is filed under the name uncultured bacterium. Its description in RNAcentral is "partial 16S ribosomal RNA". It matches the Rfam family "Bacterial small subunit ribosomal RNA", at positions 509 to 807 of the family's 1533-position model. The record is from RNAcentral.